This 228-nucleotide long non-coding RNA is filed under the name Gossypium raimondii (Peruvian cotton). RNAcentral's name for it is "long non-coding RNA (GRAI_LNC008835)". The record is from RNAcentral. Lineage: Eukaryota; Viridiplantae; Streptophyta; Magnoliopsida; Malvales; Malvaceae.
UGGAGAGUUUGGCGCGCGUGGAGGCCGAAACGUGCGGCGAUCGGGCGUUGGGCGCGGCGUGGAUGCUGUUGCGGCGCUGAGGCAGAUGCGGCUAGGGUUUUGUUUUUUGUGUUUUGGUGUGUUGAUCUUUGGGUUUGGGCUGCUUUGUUGGGCUUGUAAAAUGUAAGCCUGUUCAUUUUUUGUUUUGGCUUAUUACGUGGGCCCAGGCCGAUUGGGCCUUAUUACAUA